GUGUAGAGGCAAAAAUUGUAGAAUGGAUCGCGUUCUACAAGAAUGGUUUUUAUCAAUUUUUGUGUAGAGUCAACUGGUUUUGAGAAAUUUGGUCCCUAAGAUUUUUCCACUGCAUCCUGCCUGUGAUUAGACAAUUCUUUAGAUAUCUCAGUUACUAUUGGACAAACGGCAAAAAGUGUAUAGGCAAAAAUUGUAGAAUGGAUCGCGUUCGACAAGAAUGGUUUCUAUCAAUUUUUGUGUAGAGUCAACUGUUUUUGAGAAACUUGGAUCUUGAGAUUUUUCCACGGUCUACUGCCUGUGAUUAGACAAUUCUCUAGAUAUCUCAGUUACCAUUGGACAAAUGGCAAAAAGUGUAGAGGCAAAAAUUGUAGAAUGGAUCGCGUUCGACAAGAAUGGUUUCUAUCAAUUUUUGUGUAGAGUCAACUGUUUUUGAGAAACUUGGAUCUUGAGAUUUUUCCACGGUCUACUGCCUGUGAUUAGACAAUUCUUUAGAUAUCUCAGUUACCAUUGGACAAAUGGCAAAAAGUGUAGAGGCAAAAAUUGUAGAAUGGAUCGCGUUCUACAAGAAUGGUUUCUAUCAAUUUUUGUGUAGAGUCAACUGGUUUUAAGAAAUUUGGUCCCUAAGAUUUUUCCACUGCAUACUGCCUGUGAUUAGCCAAUUCUUUAGAUAUCUCAGUUACUAUUGGACAAAUGGUAAAAAGUGUAGAGGCAAAAAUUGUAGAAUGGAUCGCGUUCUACAAGAAUGGUUUCUAUCAAUUUUUGUGUAGAGUCAACUGGUUUUGAGAAAUUUGGACCUUAAGAUUUUUCCACGGCCUGCUGCCUGUGAUUAGACAAUUCUUUAAAUAUCUCAGUUACUAUUGGACAAAUGGCAAAAAGUGUAGAGGCAAAAAUUGUAGAAUGGAUCGCGUUUUACAAGAAUGGUUUCUAUCAAUUUUUGUGUAGAGUCAACUGUUUUUGAGAAACUUGGAUCUUAAGAUUUUUCCACGGUCUACUGCCUGUGAUUAGACAAUUCUUUAAAUAUCUCAGUUACUAUUGGACAAAUGGUAAAAAGUGUAGAAGCAAAAAUUGUAGAAUGGAUCGCGUUCUACAAGAAUGGUUCCUAUCAAUUUUUGUGUAGAGUCAACUGGUUUUGAGAAACUUGGAUCUUAAGAUUUUUUCACGGUCUACUGCCUGUGAUUAGACAAUUAGUAGUCGGCGGCCAUAUUAGACUUGUAGCUGUUUAAAAUUUGCCGACAGAUGGCGUAACUAACGUGUUGUUUAGAAAUCGUUAUAGUUACGCGAAAGAUCACCCGUUGGCUGGAGCGCCCUCUGUGGGAUCUAAAAAAAAAUUAAUAAAUACUUCCAGGCUCUCGGAAGCCAUUUCUUAACGCUUUUGACGUCAUUUUUUACGUUCGUCAAAAAGCCCCCUAGUGGCCAAAUUGACAUUUCUCCAGAUCUAGCCGCGAUCCACACUUAGUGAAACACCCUGUAUAUAUAUAUAAUAUAUAUGUAUACAAAUUUUAUAAGGGUAGAAUUGUAUUUAAAGGGUGUUUUUAGGCGGAAAAUCUCCUUGUUUUAGUCAAGAAAAAAAAAAUGAAACCAAAGACGUGCAUUUUCUCUUUUUGCAGUAUUAAGGUGUAAUUUCUAUUCCAUUUAUUCUGUGGUUUAAUUAUUAUUAAUAAAUUAACCAGAUUAUUUUGUAACGAAA
Molecule: long non-coding RNA, 1687 nt
Organism: Anthonomus grandis grandis
Lineage: Eukaryota; Metazoa; Arthropoda; Insecta; Coleoptera; Curculionidae
Exons: 2
Source: RefSeq, a predicted model, not a curated record